AGAAUCAACGCUGGCGGCGUGCCUAACACAUGCAAGUCGAACGAGAAAGUGGAGCAAUCCAUGAGUAAAGUGGCGCACGGGUGAGUAACACGUGACUAACCUACCCUUGAGUGGGGGAUAACCUAGGGAAACCUGGGCUAAUACCGCAUAAUACCUUCGGGUCAAAGGAGCAAUUCGCUUAAGGAGGGGGUCGCGGCCGAUUAGUUAGUUGGCGGGGUAAUGGCCCACCAAGACUGUGAUCGGUAUCCGGCCUGAGAGGGCGCACGGACACACUGGAACUGAAACACGGUCCAGACUCCUACGGGAGGCAGCAGUGGGGAAUUUUGCGCAAUGGGGGAACCCUGACGCAGCAACGCCGCGUGGAGGAUGAAGCCCCUUGGGGCGUAAACUCCUUUCGAUCGGGACGAUAAUGACGGUACCGGAAGAAGAAGCCCCGGCUAACUUCGUGCCAGCAGCCGC
This 459-nucleotide ribosomal RNA is filed under the name uncultured bacterium. Its description in RNAcentral is "SSU rRNA". It matches the Rfam family "Bacterial small subunit ribosomal RNA", at positions 26 to 518 of the family's 1533-position model. The record is from RNAcentral.